CAGUAGCCGCGGUAAUACGUAGGUCCCGAGCGUUGUCCGGAUUUAUUGGGCGUAAAGCGAGCGCAGGCGGUUUGAUAAGUCUGAAGUUAAAGGCUGUGGCUCAACCAUAGUUCGCUUUGGAAACUGUCAAACUUGAGUGCAGAAGGGGAGAGUGGAAUUCCAUGUGUAGCGGUGAAAUGCGUAGAUAUAUGGAGGAACACCGGUGGCGAAAGCGGCUCUCUGGUCUGUAACUGACGCUGAGGCUCGAAAGCGUGGGGAGCGAACAGGAUUAGAGACCCCUGUAGUCCCUGUCUCUUAUACC
This 301-nucleotide ribosomal RNA is filed under the name uncultured bacterium. RNAcentral's name for it is "partial 16S ribosomal RNA". It matches the Rfam family "Bacterial small subunit ribosomal RNA", at positions 509 to 808 of the family's 1533-position model. The record is from RNAcentral.